Non-coding RNA from Pelobates cultripes (western spadefoot toad), 221 nucleotides. The record is from the annotation of a GenBank genome assembly. Lineage: Eukaryota; Metazoa; Chordata; Amphibia; Anura; Pelobatidae.
AUGCUGCCCACCAGUUCCAAAUUUCAACCCCUCACCCGAUACACAUAGGAAAGAUUAUGGGGGGACCUUUUAGCACACCUUUUAGCACCCCUUUAGCUUUGUGCCCUAACCUGCAGUCAGCCCACAUGAUUUUUAACGCCUCACUCUUUUGCUGUUAGGAAUAUCUCUUUCAUAGUUUGUAUUCUUUCCAAUGCCAUAACCUAAUAGGUGAUGACUCUUCC